UUAAUCCCUAUGGAACUUGGAUUCCUACGUAUACUACUAGUCCGAAUAUUAUUUUGGCUAUGAAGAUAAUACUAAAAACAUCACAUUGAUUUAACAAAAAGCUAAUAAAACAUGUGCAAUGCUACAAGGGCUCAUUUGGAAUUUACCAAAUCCCUGGAAUUUGAAACUUAAUAAAAAUUAAGAGAAAAUGUAACGUAGCCCAAAGGAGAAGUGAGAUGAAACCAUCAUUUCUGCGUAAAAUUCAUUAUUUGAGGUCCCUUCUAGGUGCCACGAUUUUAGGAUCUCAAAAUCAG
RNAcentral lists this unclassified non-coding RNA (293 nucleotides) under Hevea brasiliensis (rubber tree). Lineage: Eukaryota; Viridiplantae; Streptophyta; Magnoliopsida; Malpighiales; Euphorbiaceae. The record is from RNAcentral.